This 627-nucleotide long non-coding RNA is filed under the name Homo sapiens (human). Its description in RNAcentral is "non-protein coding lnc-MAP3K12-4:1". Lineage: Eukaryota; Metazoa; Chordata; Mammalia; Primates; Hominidae. The record is from RNAcentral.
GCUCUCUUACCUCAUGGUUCACUGGGUGCAAUACCUUGUAAAAUGAAUACACUAUGGUAAGUGUUGUAAUACAGAUAUAGACAGAGUUCUCGGCAAGGGCAGAAGAGCUGCUGAGUCCCAGCCCCAAGCCUCAAUGUUCCCGGCUCCGUCUUACACUCGCAAGGGAAGCAAACAAACAUUCUUGCGGAAGAUACAGAGAUUUCAUAAUCUCUCCCAGGAUUCCCUCUCUCAAUUGCAUAGCUCCGCCAUCUGUCAAGUAGCCUAAACCAGAAACCAAGGAGGGCGUCCGUGAUCCCUCUGCCUCCUUCACCUCCCUUACCCCAAAUUAUCAGUUUUGUCUCUCAAAUAUAUCUGGAAUCUCUCCACUUCUCUCUGUCUUCCCUGCUCCAAACCUCCCAUCAUCUGUCGCCUGGAUUCAUCUCUCCCCUGAAUUGCUACAAUGGCCUCCCUACAAUGGCCUCCCUUUUUUUUUUUUUUUUUUUUUUUGAGACGGAGUCUCGCUCUGUCACGAGGCUGGAGUGCAGUGGUGCGACCUCGGCUCACUGCAACCUCCGCUUCCCGGGUUCAAGCGAUAAUCCUGCCUCAGCCUCCGAAGUAGCUGGGACUACAGACGCGGCUAAUUUUUCU